CAAGUCGAGCGAACAGACGAGGAGCUUGCUCCUCUGACGUUAGCGGCGGACGGGUGAGUAACACGUGGGUAACCUACCUAUAAGACUGGGAUAACUCCGGGAAACCGGGGCUAAUACCGGAUAACACAUGAAACCGCAUGGUUUCAUGAUGAAAGACGGUUUUGCUGUCACUUAUAGAUGGACCCGCGGCGUAUUAGCUAGUUGGUAAGGUAACGGCUUACCAAGGCAACGAUACGUAGCCGACCUGAGAGGGUGAUCGGCCACACUGGAACUGAGACACGGUCCAGACUCCUACGGGAGGCAGCAGUAGGGAAUCUUCCGCAAUGGGCGAAAGCCUGACGGAGCAACGCCGCGUGAGUGAUGAAGGUCUUCGGAUCGUAAAACUCUGUUAUUAGGGAAGAACAAGGAUGUAAGUAACUAUGCAUCCCUUGACGGUACCUAAUCAGAAAGCCACGGCUAACUACGUGCCAGCAGCCGCGGUAAUACGUAGGUGGCAAGCGUUAUCCGGAAUUAUUGGGCGUAAAGCGCGCGUAGGCGGUUUUUUAAGUCUGAUGUGAAAGCCCACGGCUCAACCGUGGAGGGUCAUUGGAAACUGGAAAACUUGAGUGCAGAAGAGGAAAGUGGAAUUCCAUGUGUAGCGGUGAAAUGCGCAGAGAUAUGGAGGAACACCAGUGGCGAAGGCGACUUUCUGGUCUGCAACUGACGCUGAUGUGCGAA
RNAcentral lists this ribosomal RNA (717 nucleotides) under uncultured Staphylococcus sp. RNAcentral describes it as "bacterial SSU rRNA". It matches the Rfam family "Bacterial small subunit ribosomal RNA", at positions 58 to 757 of the family's 1533-position model. Lineage: Bacteria; Bacillati; Bacillota; Bacilli; Caryophanales; Staphylococcaceae. The record is from RNAcentral.